Molecule: ribosomal RNA, 245 nt
Filed under: uncultured bacterium
Lineage: Bacteria
Description: partial 16S ribosomal RNA
Rfam family: Bacterial small subunit ribosomal RNA
Source: RNAcentral
GUAACACGUAUCCAACCUGCCGUCUACUCUUGGACAGCCUUCUGAAAGGAAGAUUAAUACAAGAUGGCAUCAUGAGUCCGCAUGUUCACAUGAUUAAAGGUAUUCCGGUAGACGAUGGGGAUGCGUUCCAUUAGAUAGUAGGCGGGGUAACGGCCCACCUAGUCUUCGAUGGAUAGGGGUUCUGAGAGGAAGGUCCCCCACAUUGGAACUGAGACACGGUCCAAACUCCUACGGGAGGCAGCAUG